AUGGGAUCUCACAUAUUUCAUCAAAAUCCCUUCAUAUUUAGGCUCGAAAUGAAAACAAGCUGCAAUGAUAGAAAUCAAGAAUCUGAUUGAAGAGUAAUUCAAAGGUUGUGAGAGUCUGUGAGGCAAACUAUGAGCAAAGCCAUCUAAUUCUCUUGAUCUCUUUCUGGAUACAGAGUCAUGGAAGUAUUCAAAAAGAGGCCAUUCCUACUGUGAUUCCUUGCAAAGGUAUGACAUAGGGUUGUCUUGUUA
Molecule: long non-coding RNA, 249 nt
Organism: Cucurbita maxima (winter squash)
Lineage: Eukaryota; Viridiplantae; Streptophyta; Magnoliopsida; Cucurbitales; Cucurbitaceae
Exons: 2
Source: RefSeq, a predicted model, not a curated record